GCCCUUACGGGGAAAGAUUUAUCGCCGAAAGAUCGGCCCGCGUCUGAUUAGCUAGUUGGUGAGGUAAUGGCUCACCAAGGCGACGAUCAGUAGCUGGUCUGAGAGGAUGAUCAGCCACAUUGGGACUGAGACACGGCCCAAACUCCUACGGGAGGCAGCAGUGGGGAAUAUUGGACAAUGGGGGCAACCCUGAUCCAGCCAUGCCGCGUGAGUGAUGAAGGCCCUAGGGUUGUAAAGCUCUUUUGUGCGGGAAGAUAAUGACGGUACCGCAAGAAUAAGCCCCGGCUAACUUCGUGCCAGCAGCCGCGGUAAUACGAAGGGGGCUAGCGUUGCUCGGAAUCACUGGGCGUAAAGGGUGCGUAGGCGGGUCUUUAAGUCAGGGGUGAAAUCCUGGAGCUCAACUCCAGAACUGCCUUUGAUACUGAGGAUCUUGAGUUCGGGAGAGGUGAGUGGAACUGCGAGUGUAGAGGUGAAAUUCGUAGAUAUUCGCAAGAACACCAGUGGCGAAGGCGGCUCACUGGCCCGAUACUGACGCUGAGGCACGAAAGCGUGGGGAGCAAACAGGAUUAGAUACCCUGGUAGUCCACGCCG
RNAcentral lists this ribosomal RNA (591 nucleotides) under Bradyrhizobium japonicum. RNAcentral describes it as "bacterial SSU rRNA". It matches the Rfam family "Bacterial small subunit ribosomal RNA", at positions 191 to 802 of the family's 1533-position model. Lineage: Bacteria; Pseudomonadati; Pseudomonadota; Alphaproteobacteria; Hyphomicrobiales; Nitrobacteraceae. The record is from RNAcentral.